CUCUGUCCUCUGGACUCUGUCCCUUUAAAAGCAUAAUUCUGGAGUGAGUGUGCGUGCAAGAGCCCACAAGGGAGGCAAAAAGAAGCUUUAAGGAAGUGGUGUGGGGAAGAGAAGACAGCAUCAGUGGUACAGAAGUGGAAGGGGACACUGGGAGUGGAAGAGUAUUAAUAGGAGGUGGUCAUAGAGAAGAGAAUGAAAACAGAAGUCUCCUUUGCCCCACGUGACUCAGUUUCUCUUCCUGGAUGGGAUCACAUGACUUUAGCCCACACUGGAUAGUGCCUUCCUUUUCAAAGGUGCCAUUGGAUUGCUACAGAGCGAUUUGCUUCAUGGUUUCCUGGGCUAAUGCCAUAGGAUGUGGAUCUAAACUGCACUUGUGUACGUGCUAUGUCUGCAUAAACUCUUUCUGCAAUUCAAAUGUUGACACCCAAAAUUACAAGCCAGAAUGCUUCUGAACUCCACCAUUAUGGUACUGCACUUCUCUGCUUCCUGAGUCCAUUUUCUGUGAAAAACACCACAGAACAUCUGUUCAUAAACAGUCCUUCUGUGAAAAUACUGACACAGGUCCUGAGCGUCUCCGGGCUCAAUUCCCCCGCCAUGUGCAGAUGGCACGAUGUAUUUGUACAGCUGAAGCCUGGGCCGCAGAAGCCAGCCAGAUCUCCAGAAACCUUAGAAGAUGGAGUCUAGCAGGAAGAUCAGUGGGGUGUGUCUUUCUUGGCCUCUCCAUGCCUCUGCCUCUGCUUCCUGUUCACCCUGAGGUGGCAGUAGUCUCGGCCACACACUCCUACCACCGUCAUGGCCUACACCAUCACAAGCCCAGGAUCAAUGGAGCCAAAGACUAUGGGUUGAACCCUCCCAACCUGUAUGUUAAAAUAAAC
This is a non-coding RNA of Peromyscus maniculatus bairdii (prairie deer mouse), 875 nucleotides long. NCBI's taxonomy places the organism in Eukaryota, Metazoa, Chordata, Mammalia, Rodentia, Cricetidae. The record is from RefSeq and is a predicted model, not a curated record.